CGAGUCUAUUCGAGUCGGUUCUUUUCGGGUUUGGGUCGGUUCUUUUCAGUUCUGGUUCUUUGGGGUAAAAGAAAUUUAGACCAAAAAAAUACUUGUAAAUUUUCGGUUCGGUUAUGGGUCGGAUAUUUUCGGAUCGGUUCGGUUUAAGUUUUUGGGCGCAGGUUAAAAUAGGCCUAGCCUAUCUACUUGGGUCUUCGCUUCAUAGAGGCCCACUAAGUUUCUAUCUUCGUCAAUACGACUUCGUUUGAACUACACUCGGACUUCGUCAAUACGGUCUCGGGAUCUUCUUCUCCUUCCUCUACAUCUCUCCUCUUUUCUUCUCAUCGUCAUCUUUAAAACGGCCAAGGGGCCGUGACUCUCUACAGCCAUCACCGACGGUGUCAGAUUCCCCGCCGCCGGUGGCCAUACACCGCAUGCCGGAUCCGGCUGUCGUCAAAGAAGUGAAACGCGCGGUGUCUGUCCCCGUGAUGGCACGCACGCGCGUCGGUCAUUUCAUGGAAGCUCAGAUCCUGGAGUCUCUGGCCGUGGACUACAUGGACGAGAGCGAGAUCAUCUCAAGAUCACUUUAUCAACAAGCAUAACUUCCGAUAUGCGGGUGCCGCGACACUGGGGAGGCGUUGAGGGAAGGCGCCGCGAUGAUUCGGAUAAUCAGUGGCUUCUCCCCGAGAGAUUCCUCUCUGCGUCUGCGCAUUCUCUUCCUUGCUUGCUAUCGUACGAUCAUGAUGAGGAUGUUGCAACUCGAAAAACUUCUUCGUCGAUCUUCUCGGUUUGCAUCAUCGUCUUCUCUUAAGAAUGAUGAAAUCAACUACAGGCAUUCCCAUGAGUUUCUGGUAUCUCUCUCCUGAAUCGGAAUAUCAAACUGGCUGAGAAUAAAAGGUUCUCACACAGAUCCCGGAGCAAUUCAUGCCAGCUUUCUUAAGUUGGGGUUCAAAACUGAUCAGCUGCUAAGCAAACAACUUAGGCUCUAUGGAUCGUGUGGUUCUGUUGAGGAUGCAAAGAGGUUGCUUUAUGAUAGUUACAAUUCCAAACUUGCUGGAGUAGCAGUUUGGAAUUCCAUGAUAGCUAUCAAUGGUGAUGGGAAUGAAGCAAUCACCAUGUUCGAGAACAUGCCUCGGGGAUUGAGCAAAACACAUGCCACCUACUGGAACACAAUGCUCGGUUGUUCACAUAUUGGUGAGACAGGCUACGCCCACUAUUUAUUGGGAAGGGCGUUUAAAUGCUUUGGUAUUGAGCCAAUCAUGGAGUUGUUGGGUACUUACAUCGACGGUUUAGCCAGGCACUGCGAGGGUAAGAAAGCAGUAACAACAUUGAAGGGUAUGAGGUACAAGCCAAAUCAGGAGAUGGUGGUGAGUAUAUUGUCCAAGUACGAUCUGAACGCUGAUCCUUCUACAUUUGCUCAAGAUUUUGUUCAGUAUCUUGAGGAGCAACGAGUGAGCUUCUAUAUAAUGAACUUGCGUCUGAAGUAGGAGUUGUUUGGAAGUCGAACGUGAAGAUUCAGAGGAGAAGGAAGAGUACUAAGGGUUGUUCCAACAUAUGAAGAGGAGAGGAGAGAGGCUCUUCACCCAACACUCUGGAGCUUUAGUUUCUUUUUUUUCCAGAUUCUUGGAACUUUCUUCUUUUACCAGCACAUUUAAAUACCGAGUCUUGACGUUGAGGUGAACGUCUAUGUCAAGGAUUGAACAUCUAGUUGGUGUUUGAGAACCUUUAAAGCUUUCUAUGCAACAGGUCGCCAUUUGAAGUU
Brassica napus (rape) is the source of this 1741-nucleotide long non-coding RNA. RefSeq lists it as uncharacterized. The record is from RefSeq and is a predicted model, not a curated record. The transcript has 4 exons. NCBI's taxonomy places the organism in Eukaryota, Viridiplantae, Streptophyta, Magnoliopsida, Brassicales, Brassicaceae.